ACAGACAAAAUCCCUGCCUUUGAGGAGUCUACAUUCUAGGGGCUCCCAGAUUAUCAUUUGUGAUAUUUAACAUAUUUAAGAUCAUUUAAGAUAACUUUGAGAUAUCUGGAGAGACACACCAAGAAAGGAAUGAUGAAGCUAUCAGAAUCCUAAAUCAACAAGAAACCACAUCUAUAGCAUUUUUACUUAGCACUCUCCCCUUAGCAACCUCUU
RNAcentral lists this long non-coding RNA (213 nucleotides) under Pan troglodytes (chimpanzee). RNAcentral's name for it is "long non-coding RNA NONPTRT013092". The record is from RNAcentral. Lineage: Eukaryota; Metazoa; Chordata; Mammalia; Primates; Hominidae.